This 140-nucleotide ribosomal RNA is filed under the name uncultured bacterium. RNAcentral describes it as "partial 16S ribosomal RNA". It matches the Rfam family "Bacterial small subunit ribosomal RNA", at positions 1363 to 1500 of the family's 1533-position model. The record is from RNAcentral.
UGAAUACGUUCCCGGGCCUUGUACACACCGCCCGUCACACCAUGAGAGUUGGGGGAUACCCAAAGCCCCGUGAGCCAACUGUAAAGAGGCAGCGGUCUAAGGUAGAAUCAAUGAUUGGGGUGAAGUCGUAACAAGGUAAC